GAGAGUGAUGAGAGGCGGCGAGGAGGGAGGGCGAGACCGGGACGGGGCUGGGGCUGGCAGCGGCCGCAUCAUCGCGGAGCGACGCGAGCAGAGGGGCCGCCGCGGGAGAUUGAAGUGUCUGCGCCGCCGCUGGGGCCGCUGUGAGGCGCGGAGGGGGCGGUGCCGCCGCCGCUGCUGCUGCUGCUGCCGCCACCGCAGCUGUUGCGCGGGGGGAGGAGGAGGAGAAAAAGAGGAGGGGGCCGCCCGUCCCUCCGCUGGCCGGCUGCGCGCCCGGCCAGGGACUCGCCGCCCUGAGCGGGGAGAAGCGGGACCGCGAUCCCGCCGGAGCGGUGCCUGGGAGCUGCUGCCCGGCCCUGCGGAGGAGCCUAGAAGCCGCGGGGUUUAUGGAGCUGGAAGUCCAGGCUGCGGAGUAAAACUUGGCUGUUUCUCCCCGCGAUUCCCACAUGCAAGUUGAUAACGUGAGACCGGCUCCUUUUCUUAUCGCUGCUGCUACCUCGAGUGCCGGGGGCCAGCGCUCUGCCCCCCCCAGCCGCUGCUGUUUCCUUUACCCGGCCCCGGAGCUGCUCGGUGGGUUUCCCUUGCCAUGUGGGGCUAGGAGGGGUGCAGCCAUUCUCCACAGGGUGAAGCGGUAAACAUGGAGGCGGCGUGCAGAGCCGACGGCGGGGAGCAGAGCCAUCAAGGCGGCGGCGUGGACACCCCCGGGGACACUUCUAUGGACUGCUACCUGCGAUCUCAGGGCUUGUACAGAAAGAGAGUUGCCAAGGAUGGAUCUUGUCUUUUCAGGGCUGUGGCCGAGCAGGUGUUACACUCUCAGUCUCGGCAUAUUGAUGUUAGGAUGGCUUGUGUAGACUAUCUUCGGAAAAAUAGGGAGAAAUUUGAAGCAUUCAUAGAGGGGCCAUUUGAAGACUAUUUAAAAUGUUUGGAAAAUCCACAGGUAUGUUAAACUUGAUUUAUAAUAAAAAGCAGUACUUUACUGAAGUUGAUGGAUAAUUGGAUUUUUUUUUUUCUCUCACAAAUGCUUUGACUGAAUUUAAGAGGUUUUUGAAUUAUGUGAAUAUAGGAGUGUACUCUCUAGUGUAAAAUGAUUUGGGGAAAUUGUUUUGUCGGGAUUCAAACCUGUUAUUCCUCAAAUUGUACCCAGACGUUUCUAGCCUCUGCAAAACAUCACGAAACAUAGUGUGGCUAGCUUUUUCUUGAAGACAGCCUUGAAUAAAGUCUGAAAGUUUCCAUGAUGAAAAGAGAGUUACUCAUGUAAGGAGUAUUAUGAACAGUAGCCACAGGCUUUUAUGAAGGUACUUAUUUGAAGCAAAAUUAUUACUCUCCCUCUCCCCACCAAUUUAAUGUUAGUAUUUUUAUUAGGGAGUUAAUUUGUGUAAGCUGAGGGGUUGGGGAAAAAAAAAGGAUUACCUAGUAAAACAUUGCAAAAUCUUUUAAUUUUUGUAAGCACUCGUACAUAAAUUUUAUUAAACGUUACCCUCCUAGAAAUCAAAACAUGACUUCCCUCUGCCCCAUUCCUAUAGCAUCCCGAGUCAGAAUGGCUAACUAGGUGGUUCUCUGUUUCAGUUUUCAAAAUGAAUGGUGGAAGGAGAAAAGAAGUGGGUGUUGGCCUGUUCUCCUUCUGUCUUUGUUCAUUCCGGGAUUUUUAAUUGCAAAGCUUUGUUAGUCAAAUCUAGAGUUAACAUGCUUUGCUAAAUGGUAAACCAUGCUGUUUCCCAGUAGAACUUACUGUGCACUGAACUGUGCUAAUGUGAAUAGUUUACAGCACUGCACUGUCUGUACAGAAAAUGUCUUUUUCGUACAUGUCCACUAAUGUUUAAAAGAAAUCUUUUGGAAAAAUAAACCAGACAGUAGCUUUUUUACGUGGUCAGAGAAGUUAGUAUUAAGUUAGUCUGUAUUUGAAAAUCGUCAUGAGAAUUAAAAAAAAAUUGAAAUGCUACAAAUUCCUGCCCCAAACUUAAUUUCAGUAUUUUUUAAUUUAGUAAGAAUAAAAAAAAGAAGAGAAAGAA
This 2006-nucleotide long non-coding RNA is filed under the name Strigops habroptila (Kakapo). Its description in RNAcentral is "lncRNA (ENSSHBG00005017196.1)". Lineage: Eukaryota; Metazoa; Chordata; Aves; Psittaciformes; Psittacidae. The record is from RNAcentral.